RNAcentral lists this transfer RNA (71 nucleotides) under Phycisphaerae bacterium. RNAcentral describes it as "tRNA-Ala". The record is from RNAcentral. Lineage: Bacteria; Pseudomonadati; Planctomycetota; Phycisphaerae.
GGGCCCGAGAGCCAAGGGGGCCGCAGUGGUUUGCACCCACCUGUGGGCAGGUUCAAUUCCUGCCGGGUCCA